Molecule: ribosomal RNA, 801 nt
Filed under: uncultured marine microorganism
Description: bacterial SSU rRNA
Rfam family: Bacterial small subunit ribosomal RNA
Source: RNAcentral
AGAGUUUGAUCAUGGCUCAGAUUGAACGCUGGCGGCAGGCCUAACACAUGCAAGUCGAACGGUAACAUUUCUAGCUUGCUAGAAGAUGACGAGUGGCGGACGGGUGAGUAAUGCUUGGGAACUUGCCUUUGCGAGGGGGAUAACAGUUGGAAACGACUGCUAAUACCGCAUAAUGUCUACGGACCAAACGGGGCUUUUAGCUCCGGCGCAAAGAGAGGCCCAAGUGAGAUUAGCUAGUUGGUAAGGUAAUGGCUUACCAAGGCAACGAUCUCUAGCUGUUCUGAGAGGAAGAUCAGCCACACUGGAACUGAGACACGGUCCAGACUCCUACGGGAGGCAGCAGUGGGGAAUAUUGCACAAUGGGGGAAACCCUGAUGCAGCCAUGCCGCGUGUGUGAAGAAGGCCUUCGGGUUGUAAAGCACUUUCAGUUGUGAGGAAAAGUUAGUAGUUAAUACCUGCUAGCCGUGACGUUAACAACAGAAGAAGCACCGGCUAACUCCGUGCCAGCAGCCGCGGUAAUACGGAGGGUGCGAGCGUUAAUCGGAAUUACUGGGCGUAAAGCGCACGCAGGCGGCUUGUUAAGCUAGAUGUGAAAGCCCCGGGCUCAACCUGGGAUAGUCAUUUAGAACUGGCAGACUAGAGUCUUGGAGAGGGGAGUGGAAUUCCAGGUGUAGCGGUGAAAUGCGUAGAUAUCUGGAGGAACAUCAGUGGCGAAGGCGACUCCCUGGCCAAAGACUGACGCUCAUGUGCGAAAGUGUGGGUAGCGAACAGGAUUAGAUACCCUGGUAGUCCACACCGUAA